CAAUAGCGUAUAUUAAAGUUGUUGCAGUUAAAACGCUCGUAGUCGGAUUUCGGGGCGGGGCCGCCGGUCUGCCGAUGGGUAUGCACUGGCGGGCGCGUCCUUCCUUCCGGAGACUGGCCCUACUCUUAACUGAGCGGGGUCGGGAAUCGGAUCGUUUACUUUGAAAAAAUCAGAGUGUUUCAAGCAGGCAAUUUGUUCUUGCAUGGAUUAGCAUGGGAUAAUGAAAUAGGACUUUGGUGCUAUUUUGUUGGUUUCGAACACCGAAGUAAUGAUUAACAGGGACAGUCAGGGGCACUCGUAUUCCGCCGAGAGAGGUGAAAUUCUCAGACCAGCGGAAGACGAACUACUGCGAAAGCAUUUGCCAGGGAUGUUUNCACUG
This 379-nucleotide ribosomal RNA is filed under the name uncultured eukaryote. RNAcentral's name for it is "partial 18S ribosomal RNA". It matches the Rfam family "Eukaryotic small subunit ribosomal RNA", at positions 592 to 975 of the family's 1831-position model. The record is from RNAcentral.